GGCAGGAGUCCCUCACCGGCUGUCCGGCUCCUAUACCUAGGACAGCGCCAAGUCUUUCAGCCGCUCCCCAUCCUGGCGGAAGAUGUUCCGGGAGAAGGACCUCCGAGGCGUAACUCCCGACUCAGCUGAGAUGUUGCCCCCCAACUUUCGUUCGGCUGCAGCGGGAGCCCUGGGCUCUCCGGGGCUCCCUCUCCGCAAGCUGCAGCCAGAAGGCCAGACUUCUGGGAGUUCCCGGGCAGACGGCGUUUCGGUCCGGACCUAUUCCUGCUAGUGCAGGCCUCCAGGUGAGGACCGUGCUGGGCGACCUUGGGGGUGCGGGGCGGCACGGUGGAUCUUCACUGCUCCACGCGCUGCCCGGCGUCAUGCAGGUGACCUCACUCGGACGGAAGAAUCUUCCCGAGGCUGGGCUGUUCCCUCUCCUGCCCGGACUGUGGCCUCGCCGGGGAGAGCGGGCGGGGGAGCUCGCGCCGAGGACUGGACCAUCUGUACAGACCAGCGGGAGUGCGCGCGCCCGCCUCGCACAGGGCCGGGGCCUGGACCAAACCACAUGAACUGGACUGAGAGGGGGAAGAAGCGGGGAGGAAGAAAUCCCGCCCCAAACGUCCGCUUUCCUUUUCUCUACUUUGUAAUUUAUUGAUCAGUUUCUGUUGGGAGACGGGUGUCCUUUACCCGCGGGAAGGGGGCGGGGCUUCCCUCCCGGGCCGCAUGCGGGGAGAGGCUGCUCCCUCCCCUUUUUCCUGCCCAGUCGCGGGGCCCAAGUCUUCCUUCUUCGUCCGAAAGGAGGGGAGGGGGGACUCGCUGCUACAAGCCUCGCCCCCUGUGCCACUCAGCUCCGCCCCGCCGCGUCCGGUCGCCGGUCCCCCGGGUCAUCUGCGGGCGGGUUCCCCUCUCCCUCCCCCGUGUCUCGUGUCCCCGGGGCCUCACCGCCCCCCGUGCUGUGGCCGUGUCCGUGCCCCGGGGGUAGGGGGCGCAGAAUGGCGCUUCCCCUUCUCCUCUGGCUCCGGGGUUUGCAUGGGAGAAUCCUCUUUCCACGAUGCCGCUGGGCGACGUGGCGUGGGGGCAGGGGGACGGUGGGGGAGCCCUCGCCCCCGACUCUCGGUCGGCCUCCCCGCCCCAGGCGUCACUCAGUGAUCACGGGUAAAGAGAACUGUU
Molecule: long non-coding RNA, 1152 nt
Filed under: Homo sapiens (human)
Lineage: Eukaryota; Metazoa; Chordata; Mammalia; Primates; Hominidae
Description: HSALNT0261268
Source: RNAcentral